UGUUAACCUCUCUUGCAUCACUGUGUUUUCCUGAGGGGGAGAGGAAGAGGAGUUAUAACAAAUACUCAGGGAAGUGGGCACAGCCUGCAAUGUGGGAGGAGGCUGCUCCCCAUUUUGGGUUUAGAUGGCAUGCCACACUUCUGCACUGGGAGUCCUUGGGGAAUGAGGACAUCUGAGCCACACAGACCACCCCAUGAGCCCCUUCUUGGCUGGUUUUCAGAGGCUCCUGAAGCCAUGAAAUUUGCACAGGGUUGUACUAACUUCCUGCAGAGGCCCACACUGUGGCUCCACUGUCACUCCAAGCUCCCUGCUCAGCAGGCCUGAGGACAGCAAGGAAUGGAAGACCAGCAGGGCAGACGCCUCAAAGGAAAGGCAGAAGAAAGUAAGACAACAGUAAGGGAGUGAUACUCAGAAAUAGCCCUGGGGGA
Phyllostomus discolor (pale spear-nosed bat) is the source of this 428-nucleotide long non-coding RNA. RefSeq lists it as uncharacterized. The transcript has 2 exons. Lineage: Eukaryota; Metazoa; Chordata; Mammalia; Chiroptera; Phyllostomidae. The record is from RefSeq and is a predicted model, not a curated record.